GAUGAACGCUAGCGGCAGGCCUAACACAUGCAAGUCGAGGGGGAAGUUACUUUCGGGUAACUGAGACCGGCGUACGGGUGCGUAACGCGUAUACAACCUGCCUUUCACUGGGGGAUAGCCCGAAGAAAUUUGGAUUAAUACCCCAUAGUAUAGUAGUGUGGCAUCACACAACUAUUAAAGCUUAGGUGGUGAAAGAUGAGUAUGCGUUCUAUUAGCUAGUUGGAGAGGUAACGGCUCCCCAAGGCUAUGAUAGAUAGGGGUUCUGAGAGGGAUGUCCCCCACACUGGUACUGAGAUACGGACCAGACUCCUACGGGAGGCAGCAGUGAGGAAUAUUGGACAAUGGUCGGAAGACUGAUCCAGCCAUGCCGCGUGCAGGAUGAAGGUCUUAUGGAUUGUAAACUGCUUUUGUAAGGGAAGAAUAAGGACUACGUGUAGUUUGAUGACGGUACCUUAUGAAUAAGCAUCGGCUAACUCCGUG
This 480-nucleotide ribosomal RNA is filed under the name uncultured bacterium. Its description in RNAcentral is "partial 16S ribosomal RNA". It matches the Rfam family "Bacterial small subunit ribosomal RNA", at positions 28 to 507 of the family's 1533-position model. The record is from RNAcentral.